UUUCCUCCCUGCCCCCAUGCUGCCGCUCUAUCAUGCUCUUCGCCAUUUGCUACCGGUUGUUCUCUCGCUGGUGCCAACGCUGUCCACGGAGCCGCUCUAGGCUGUUGGGAGGCCGUCCGCAUUGCGUGGGGAAGAUUUGGACGACACAGUCGCCUCGCCGGUCCCCGGGGCAGCUAGCGCUUCCAGGGUCGGAGGGUGCGCGGGGUUGAAAGCGGGCCGCUCCGCCCCGUCCCCCUCCCAGACCAGCAGAGGCAGCAGCCAGAGCAGCCGCAGCCUGCGCCCUCUCCCGCCUGCCCUUCACUCGCCCCGGGGUCUCUUUCCCCCUUCCUCCUCCUUCUCCUCCUCCUCCACCCCCUCCCCUUCCUCCUCCGCCCACCCCUAUUGUUCCGCCCCGGCCUCCCGCACUUCCCCUUCCCGCCCGCUCCCCUUUGUCCCUCAGUCGCCUUGCGCCUGCAGGUCAUUCAGAGGACCCAAGACAUGGUGGUUACUAGUAGACUUCCCACAGUAGUUCUUCAUUCCAUGUGGACUCCUUCAAGGGCAGUGAGCAUCACAGCUUCCCUUGAACUUCGUCUGGAGUGUUACUGAGAUUUUCAGUUAUUUGGACAAACUUGAUGGAUUUAAAGCAGACAUGGUGAGUAUGGGAUCUGGGUGGCCUUUUCUAUAUGGAUUUUUUUUU
RNAcentral lists this long non-coding RNA (676 nucleotides) under Bos indicus x Bos taurus (hybrid cattle). RNAcentral describes it as "lncRNA (ENSBIXG00000029724.1)". Lineage: Eukaryota; Metazoa; Chordata; Mammalia; Artiodactyla; Bovidae. The record is from RNAcentral.